UUCAUCAAGAGUAGCUGAGGGACUGGCCCGAUGAAGCUACGGCAACCACACAGAUGUGAACGGUGCCAAAUCCAACGGAAGCAUUCCGGCAGAUGA
RNAcentral lists this non-coding RNA (96 nucleotides) under uncultured Phascolarctobacterium sp. Its description in RNAcentral is "SAM riboswitch (S box leader)". It matches the Rfam family "SAM riboswitch aptamer (S box leader)". Rfam says of the family: The SAM riboswitch is found upstream of a number of genes which code for proteins involved in methionine or cysteine biosynthesis in Gram-positive bacteria. The SAM riboswitch acts at the level of transcription termination control. Lineage: Bacteria; Bacillati; Bacillota; Negativicutes; Acidaminococcales; Acidaminococcaceae. The record is from RNAcentral.